RNAcentral lists this ribosomal RNA (301 nucleotides) under uncultured bacterium. Its description in RNAcentral is "partial 16S ribosomal RNA". It matches the Rfam family "Bacterial small subunit ribosomal RNA", at positions 509 to 807 of the family's 1533-position model. The record is from RNAcentral.
CAGCAGCCGCGGGAAUACGAAGGGGGCUAGCGUUGUUCGGAAUUACUGGGCGUAAAGGGCGCGUAGGCGGCCAUUCAAGUUAGAUGUGAAAGCCCUGGGCUCAACCUAGGAAUUGCAUUUGAUACUGUUCGGCUUGAGUUCGGGAGAGGUGAGUGGAAUUCCCAGUGUAGAGGUGAAAUUCGUAGAUAUUGGGGAGAACACCAGUGGCGAAGGCGGCUCACUGGACCGACACUGACGCUGAGGCGCGAAAGCGUGGGGAGCAAACAGGAUUAGAUACCCCAGUAGUCCCUGUCUCUUAUAC